RNAcentral lists this ribosomal RNA (1796 nucleotides) under Antennophorus wasmanni. RNAcentral's name for it is "SSU rRNA". It matches the Rfam family "Eukaryotic small subunit ribosomal RNA". Lineage: Eukaryota; Metazoa; Arthropoda; Arachnida; Mesostigmata; Antennophoridae. The record is from RNAcentral.
GUAGUCAUAUGCUUGUCUCAAAGAUUAAGCCAUGCAUGUCUAAGUACAGGCCUACGAAAUGGUGAAACCGCGAAUGGCUCAUUAAAUCAGUUAUGGUUCCUUGGAAUGUUGUCAAAGUGGAUAACUGUGGCAAUUCUAGAGCUAAUACAUGGCAUAACGCCUCGGCCCUCGUGCCCACGCGUGCUUUUAUUAGACAACCAAGCAGCGGUCCAACUGGGCUGAUUGCAGUCAAAUGGUGGUGAACUCUGUAUAACUUAUUGCGUACCGUUCAGGCCUUUGUGCCUUCGGUGUUCUUUCAAGUGUCUGCUCUAUCAACUUUCGAUGGCAGGUUAUACGCCUACCAUGGUUGUGACGGGUAACGGAGAAUCAGGGUUCGAUUCCGGAGAGGGAGCCUGAGAAACGGCUACCACAUCCAAGGAAGGCAGCAGGCGCGUAAAUUACCCAAUCCCGGCACGGGGAGGUAGUGACGAAAAAUAACGAUGCGGGGCUCCAACGAGUCUCCGUGAUUGGAAUGAGUACACUCUAAACCCUUUAACGAGGAUCUAUUGGAGGGCAAGUCUGGUGCCAGCAGCCGCGGUAAUUCCAGCUSCAAUAGCGUAUAUUAAAGCUGUUGCGGUUAAAAAGCUCGUAGUUGAAACCGAGCGGAUUCGUACAGUGGGCACAUUCGUCUGUGCCGUGUGUACGGGUUGCGCAACGGGGGUAGCUGUUCCUCGUCCUCUUCACUGAGUGGCUUGGGGUGGCUAUCAUAUAUCACUUUGAUUAAAUUAGAGUGCUCAAAGCAGGCCUCGCGCCCCCAUAGCAGUGCACGGAAUGAUGGAAGACGUUGCUGUUCUGUUUGUCUGGUUUUUGGAUACGGCAAGAUGAUCGAGAGGAACAAUCCGGAGGCGAAGGUAUUGCAGCGAGAGAGGUGAAAUUCUUGGACCGUUGCAAGACCAACUACAGCGAAAGCAUUCGCCGAGAGUGUUUUCAUUGAUCAAGAACGAAAGUUAGAGGUUCGAAGGCGAUCAGAUACCGCCCUAGUUCUAACCAUAAACGAUGCCUACUUGCAAUCCGCCUCGGUUCUCUAAAUGACUGGGCGGGCAGCUCCGGGAAACCAAAGUGGGGUUCCGGGGGAAGUAUGGUUGCAAAGCUGAAACUUAAAGGAAUUGACGGAAGGGCACCACCAGGCAUGGAGCCUGCGGCUUAAUUUGACUCAACACGGGAAAACUUACCCGGCCCGGACACUGGGAGGAUUGACAGAUUGAGAGCUCUUUCUUGAUUCGGUGGAGGGUGGUGCAUGGCCGUUCUUAGUUGGUGGAGCGAUCUGUCUGGUUUAUUCCGAUAACGAACGAGACUCUAGCCUAUUAAAUAGUCGCCAGGGUCACGCAGCCCCUGGCGUACUUCUUAGAGGGACAAGGUGCUUUCAGCACCGCGAAAAAGAGCAAUAACAGGUCUGUGAUGCCCUUAGAUGUCCGGGGCCGCACGCGCGCUACACUGAUGGAAAAAGCGUGUCGUGUUCCUAGUUCGAAGGAACUGGGUAACCCAAUGAAGCUCCUUCAUGAUUGGGAUAGGGGCUUGCAAUUGUACCCCUUGAACGAGGAAUGCCCAGUAAACACUAGUCAUCAGCUAGUGUUGAUUACGUCCCUGCCCUUUGUACACACCGCCCGUCGCUACUACCGAUUGAGUGAUUUAGUGAGGUCAUCUGACUGAGCCCCCGAGCACCUCCGGGUCGCGCGGCGGGAGCGGAAAGACGACCAAACUUGAUUACUUAGAGGAAGUAAAAGUCGUAANAAGGUUUCCGUAGGUGAACCUGCGGA